Long non-coding RNA from Neogale vison (American mink), 1357 nucleotides. RefSeq lists it as uncharacterized. Lineage: Eukaryota; Metazoa; Chordata; Mammalia; Carnivora; Mustelidae. The record is from RefSeq and is a predicted model, not a curated record. The transcript has 2 exons.
GCCGGCUGGGCUCCCGCCGCCCCGCCGCCGCCCUCCCCGCCCCGCAGUCCCGAAGGCGGGAGGGCGGGGAGCCCCUCCACCUCUGCUGGAGCUGGGGGUGCAGGUGAGUCCCCGUGGACGCAGAACCUUUGCCACAAAAUUAACCGGGGCUCCCCGUCGUUUUCAAGGUGCCCCAGAAAACAGGACGCUGUCAAGUUAGACCCGACCCUUUGCUCUUGUGCGGGAUAAGAAAGCCCAGAACUUGAAAAAACAGAUGUGUCCUGGCAUUUGUUAUGGGCUGAGUUGUGCUUCCCUCAAAUGACUGUGUUUAACUUGAGGGGCUGUAGGGGCUCUAUUUGGACAUAGGGCCUUUAAAGAAGUGAUCAAAUUAAAAUGAAGCUCUAGGGCAGACCUGAUCAUUUGGACUGAUGUCCUUUUAGAAGAGGAAAUUUGGACCCACAAAGAGAGAACCAGGGGUGUCACGCACAGAGGAAGAAAGACCAUGUGAGGACACAGCAAGAAAGCAGCGGUCUGCAAGCCAAGGAGAGAGGCCUCGGAAGAAAUCAAACCUGUUGACAUCUUAAUGUUGGGACUUCUAACCUCCGGAACUGUGAGAGAUAAAUUUCCGUUGUUUAAGCCACUCAGUCUGCAGUGUUUUGUUAUGGCAGCCCUAGAAAACGAAUGCAGCCUUCGAGACAAUUUUUCUACUUUGAGAGUCUCAAGUCCAUGCUGGAAUACAAAACCAAGAAAUUGUCUGCCACAGAACAUCUUCCUCUGAGGGCUGGGCCUAGCCAAAACUUUUACCAUUUUCUAACUGGUGGGGAAAUUUUGAAACAAAGAAAUUUGUUAGUAUUUUAACAUUAUACUAGUAUGGGUAAAAUAUCUAAACAAAGGAUAAUGGAUACAUUCAAGUCAGGCCUUCAUAGCUAAGGUUUGGUAUUCCUAAGGGAUUAUGGGAGACUUAGAUAUUUUUGGAGGCUGGUUGGCAUUUUGGUGAUAAUAGAAGCAAAAAAUAUGUGAGCCCAGUGAAAUGAUUGUUCCUUCCAUGGAUGGCCCUUAUUUUCUUUUUCUAUUUAUGUUUUGAUUCCAAAUUUUCAAAUAUUUAAGUGUGUUAAAAUUUUUUAUUCUCAAGGGCAUCCAAAUAUGCACAUAUUUUAGGAAUGCCUUAUAAACUGUGAUCCAGUCAGUGUGGAGUCCCCCUUGGCUCAGGUGAGGAUCUAUACAUUCUUGGUCUCCAGGGCUCUUGAGCAGCAAGUUUACUUUUUUGACUUAAGUGACUGGAUGCAUCUCACCUGUGUAUUUUCAUCUUUGAUCUUUCUCCGAUUAUGUAUUUCUCAUGCUGUACUAGAGUGUCAUUAAAGGAAUAACAAGUACCCUC